AUAAUUACAUGUAUAAAAACGAUUAACUGUAGGUACAGAAUGUGUCAACUGCAGAUACAAAAUCUGAAGAUUAUUUUUGGACUAUGGUCUACAAUGCAAGGUAGACUCUGGUC
Molecule: long non-coding RNA, 113 nt
Organism: Ipomoea nil (Japanese morning glory)
Lineage: Eukaryota; Viridiplantae; Streptophyta; Magnoliopsida; Solanales; Convolvulaceae
Exons: 3
Source: RefSeq, a predicted model, not a curated record